GCUCCGUGUGUUCCCUCAUAAGAUAGUUAGCUGUCUCAACCCAUUCGGAGCACGGAGUUGGCUUGUGAGGACGUGGUGGGAUCAAGCCGUGAGCGCAGCGAGUUCACUCUGACGGUUCGGAUUAACUAAAACGUGGCCUGCAGUACAUGCGUCGGGAAGGGUUUGACGGAUUGGAUCAACAGUUGUUUCGUUUCUAGUGCUGUUAUCGGCUACGUGAAAGAGUCACACCUGCUGCAAGUCACUGUUUACUAUGUCUGUGCAUGGCUAUGUCGUCUUGCGAAUGCUUCGGCCAUAACUCAUUGCACGCACACAUGUUGGACGGGAUGUGGUAUAUUGUGUUAUUCCGCAAUGAUGUGAUUUGCAGACGUAGGGAACUGAAGGUUGAGAAAGGUGAUGGGUGAUGGCGUGUUGUCGGUGUUGAUUGAUCAUUAACCAGGAGCAGUAGAUUGUGGAGAAAUAAAAUUGGUGUUAAGAUGUCAUAAUGGAAGAACAAAUCAAAGCAACUUUUAGAGAAUUACAUUUGGAUUUAAAGUGCUGUUGUGAUGUUGCAAUUGAUAUUCUUUCAAAAUACUAUGAAGACAAAUUUGAAAGUAUUACAUCA
This is a non-coding RNA of Physcomitrium patens, 601 nucleotides long. NCBI's taxonomy places the organism in Eukaryota, Viridiplantae, Streptophyta, Bryopsida, Funariales, Funariaceae. The record is from RefSeq and is a predicted model, not a curated record.